This 72-nucleotide transfer RNA is filed under the name Equus caballus (horse). It matches the Rfam family "tRNA". From Rfam's summary of the family: Transfer RNA (tRNA) molecules are approximately 80 nucleotides in length. Their secondary structure includes four short double-helical elements and three loops (D, anti-codon, and T loops). The record is from Rfam by way of RNAcentral. Lineage: Eukaryota; Metazoa; Chordata; Mammalia; Perissodactyla; Equidae.
GCCCUGGUGGUCUAGUGGUUAAGAUUCGGCAUUAUCAUUGCCACGGCCCAGGUUCAUUUCCCGGUCAGGGAA